Molecule: ribosomal RNA, 316 nt
Filed under: uncultured bacterium
Lineage: Bacteria
Description: bacterial SSU rRNA
Rfam family: Bacterial small subunit ribosomal RNA
Source: RNAcentral
GAUGAACGCUGGCGGCGUGCUUAACACAUGCAAGUCGAACGAAGACAUCUGAGUGCUUGCACUUGGAUGGACUGAGUGGCGGACGGGUGAGUAACGCGUGGGUAACCUGCCUUAUACAGGGGGAUAACAGUUGGAAACGACUGCUAAUACCGCAUAAGCGCACGGUAUCGCAUGAUACAGUGUGAAAAACUCCGGUGGUAUAAGAUGGACCCGCGUCUGAUUAGCUUGUUGGUGAGGUAACGGCCCACCAAGGCGACGAUCAGUAGCCGGCCUGAGAGGGUGAACGGCCACAUUGGGACUGAGACACGGCCCAAAA